Molecule: ribosomal RNA, 253 nt
Filed under: uncultured bacterium
Lineage: Bacteria
Description: partial 16S ribosomal RNA
Rfam family: Bacterial small subunit ribosomal RNA
Source: RNAcentral
GACAGGGGUCUCGAGCGUUAAUCGGAAUUACUGGGCUUAAAGGGUGCGUAGGUGGGUCCGCAAGUGCUCCGUGAAAUCCCCCGGCUCAACCGGGGAACUGCGGGGCAUACUGCGGGUCUUGAGGAAGGUAGGCGCCGAGGGAACAGUAGGUGGAGCGGUGAAAUGCGUAGAUAUCUACUGGAACGCCGAUGGUGAAGACGCUCGGCUGGGCCUUUCCUGACACUGAGGCACGAAAGCGUGGGAAGCAAACAGG